UAAGGGUUUUUGUUGACCAAUCUGCAGAUAAAAAAAAGUGAAUGUUAUUGUUAGAUGCAAUAUCAAGGUUAAACAUUAUGAUCAAUCUGUCUUUACAAGUCUCUCACAGGUACAUUAACAAGCUCUGUAUUAGUAAUCAAUCAAAAACUGAAUAAAAUAGAUCAGAUUUGAAUUUCCAUUGAAAUGGAGAAGGAUGAAGUGUAAUUUUAAA
Molecule: long non-coding RNA, 211 nt
Organism: Arabidopsis thaliana (thale cress)
Lineage: Eukaryota; Viridiplantae; Streptophyta; Magnoliopsida; Brassicales; Brassicaceae
Product: other RNA
Exons: 1
Source: RefSeq